UUUGCCUCGGCCGCCUUGUUUUAUUCCUCUGUGAAAUGGGCUGAACCCCAUGGGGAAGAUCAGAGGAGACUGGGAGGAGGUGGCCUCUCGGUGCAGAUGUGAUGGUUCCAAUAUUAAUUGUUAUCUGUGUGCUUGGGAGCAGGUCACGGCAGACCUGAAGGGGGAGGAGCCUAUGUCCCCCCACCCUCUACCCCCCCUUUGAGCACACAGCCAGUGCUCAAUAGGUGUGUGCCGAAGGGAGAGAGCCGGCGGGGAAGGAGGGGAGAGCCCUGAACUUGAGCUCAGAUGCCAUUGAGUGGCUGAGUCACCGGGGACCUGGGGCGUGUGCCUCAGCUUCCCCACCAGGUGCUGGCUGAGCGGAGACAGUCCUGGCAGACACCCGUGUGAGGACUGUACGUGGCCAGAGCCCUGGUGGCUGGGCUGAGAGGGGGCUGGGACAGAGCUGUCACUGAAACAGCGUGACACCCACGAAGGCCUGUGGCCCAGGGCCCUGGAGGCCCCCAGCGGUCCUGUCCAGGGUGGCCACAGGUCAGCCAGCGCAAGGUCAGGGCCUCCAGAGCCCUGGGCAGCCCUGACCCGAUUCCCAGGCGAGGAGCUCGGCAGGCUCUCUGGCCCAUUCUCUCCCCGCCCUGCUUGGUCAGCUCCCGCGCCCCGGGUUUUCGGAGCAGAGCUGGGAGGCGGCUGGGGCCAGCGGCCUCCCUGUGUGACCCUGGGCAAGGCGCUGUGCUCUCUGGGCUUGGCACUGCCAGGCUGGAGCUCUGGGGUCCCACGAAGCCGACUUCUCCUUCAGCAUCAGGAAGCAGAGGGUUUGGGGCUCGGGAUACUUUUAGGGGAUCGAGAGGAGUUUUAACUUCUCACGUCAGAGGGGAAGGGGAAGUGUAGAUGGAAGGAACUCUUUUGGCAUUUAAUACUGAUACGUGUGUCUUGGUACCAGUGCUGUCGUAAACUAUAAGUUUGAAUUUCGUUUUCGUCCGGGGCCUCCUCAGGCCGCAGUGAUUCUCCCGUCUGACCUCAGUUGCCACAGAGUGGGCGCCUGUAGGCCACCUUGGCCUGGGGACAUGUGGGCUGUGGAGCCAGGACUGGGGCUGGGUGGUGGACGCUGCCACCGUCCCCUCUCCUGGUUAUACCGGCUUGGUAAUAACAGCCCCUGUCUGGCGCCCCAGGUCAGGUGCGUCAGUUUACCCACCCGUGUGGCCUCCUUGUGUUUCUGGGAGGUCCCAGGGGAGCCGGCAGGGCGGGAGGGGAGGUGGCGGUUGGUGGUAGGCGGGGCAGAGUGAGCUUCCUGUCCCCCCCACACACGCAGGCCUCCCCUUGGGCUGACGGAAGCGCCAGGGCCUUGUGGCUUCGUCCCAGUGCCAGCCCCGUCCCACAGGGGCCCCCCGGCUCCCCUGUGCCCAUCUGAUGGGGAAACUGAGGCACAGAGCCGGACAGUGACCCAAACACUGGGAGCUGCCAGUGGGGAGCACAGAGCUCAGGCCUGGCCCAGCUGGCUCAGGGUACAGAUCCACUGUUACUUCCUGGCUGCAACCUUGGCAAGU
Heterocephalus glaber (naked mole-rat) is the source of this 1538-nucleotide non-coding RNA. NCBI's taxonomy places the organism in Eukaryota, Metazoa, Chordata, Mammalia, Rodentia, Bathyergidae. The record is from RefSeq and is a predicted model, not a curated record.